UACGAAGGGGGCUAGCGUUGUUCGGAUUUACUGGGCGUAAAGCGCAUGUAGGCGGGUCGUUCAGGUGGGGGUGAAAUUCCGAGGCUCAACCUCGGAACUGCCUUCAAAACUGGCGACCUGGAGCAAGAUAGAGGCAAGUGGAAUUGCGAGUGUAGAGGUGAAAUUCGUAGAUAUUCGCAGGAACACCAGUGGCGAAGGCGACUUGCUGGAUCUUUGCUGACGCUGAUAUGCGAAAGCGUGGGGAGCAAACAGG
RNAcentral lists this ribosomal RNA (253 nucleotides) under uncultured bacterium. RNAcentral describes it as "partial 16S ribosomal RNA". It matches the Rfam family "Bacterial small subunit ribosomal RNA", at positions 524 to 776 of the family's 1533-position model. The record is from RNAcentral.